RNAcentral lists this unclassified non-coding RNA (206 nucleotides) under Hevea brasiliensis (rubber tree). Lineage: Eukaryota; Viridiplantae; Streptophyta; Magnoliopsida; Malpighiales; Euphorbiaceae. The record is from RNAcentral.
UGAUUAACCAGCUACUGUGUUUCCUCCAUAAGAUUCAUCUUUCAUUACAUUCAAAGCUCACCUUCCCUCCAAACACUGCUGUACAUAAAUUGGUCGGUAUUACGAUGGUAAAAUUCUUACAUUAUCAAGGCUAUAAUGACUACGGAAAGAAGGAUGGAUGGUUUGGAUUGAAGUUAGCGAGUAUUUGAGGGUUGGUGGGGAGGAAG